GCCUGGGUGGCUCAGUCGGUUGAGCGUCCGACUUCAGCUCAGGUCAUGAUCUCACAGUUCGUGGGUUUGAGCCCCGCAUCGGGCU
RNAcentral lists this transfer RNA (85 nucleotides) under Crocuta crocuta (spotted hyena). It matches the Rfam family "tRNA". From Rfam's summary of the family: Transfer RNA (tRNA) molecules are approximately 80 nucleotides in length. Their secondary structure includes four short double-helical elements and three loops (D, anti-codon, and T loops). Lineage: Eukaryota; Metazoa; Chordata; Mammalia; Carnivora; Hyaenidae. The record is from Rfam by way of RNAcentral. RNAcentral also lists the same sequence under 5 other names.